CAGCCGCCGCGGGAAAACGUAGGGUGCAAGCGUUAGUCGGAAUUACUGGGCGUAAAGCGUGCGCAGGCGGUUCGUUAAGACAGAUGUGAAAUCCCCGGGCUUAACCUGGGAACUGCAUUUGUGACUGGCGGGCUAGAGUAUGGCAGAGGGGGGUAGAAUUCCACGUGUAGCAGUGAAAUGCGUAGAGAUGUGGAGGAAUACCGAUGGCGAAGGCAGCCCCCUGGGCCAAUACUGACGCUCAUGCACGAAAGCGUGGGGAGCAAACAGGAUUAGAUACCCGGGUAGUCCCUGUCUCUUAUAU
RNAcentral lists this ribosomal RNA (301 nucleotides) under uncultured bacterium. RNAcentral describes it as "partial 16S ribosomal RNA". It matches the Rfam family "Bacterial small subunit ribosomal RNA", at positions 509 to 809 of the family's 1533-position model. The record is from RNAcentral.